Molecule: unclassified non-coding RNA, 262 nt
Filed under: plant metagenome
Description: partial contains small subunit ribosomal RNA, internal transcribed spacer 1, and 5.8S ribosomal RNA
Source: RNAcentral
UCUCCGUUGGUGAACCAGCGGAGGGAUCAUUACCGAGUUUACAACUCCCAAACCCCUAUGUGAACGUUACCAAACUGUUGCCUCGGCGGGAAAUUCAUGCCCCGGGCGCGUCGCAGCCCCGGACCAAGGCGCCCGCCGGAGGACCAACCAAAACUCUUUCGUAUGUCCCUCGCGGACUUUUAUAAUUCUGAACCAUCUCGGCGCCCCUAGCGGGCGUUUCGAAAAUGAAUCAAAACUUUCAACAACGGAUCUCUUGGUUCUG